CGUUAGGGGUGGAGCUUCAGGGGGAGCGCGCCGAGAUGUCGGGCGUCUGUGCAGAACCGUCUGGAGCAGGAAAGAUGCUAAAAAAUUUGCCUUUGACCUCCCGCCAGCCUGGAGACAUGAUGUCCACUCCUGGCAGGGCGGUCAGGUCAGGCAAGAUUACUACAACCUCAGGAAGGUAAAAGGUAAGCGUGGAAAUCAUGACAAAAUGCACAUUACCAGUUUUAGAAAAACUUCUGUCAAAUCCUACCUACCUGCCAUUGCCACUGGGAAAUGGAUGACCAUGACAGUUGAUUCUUCUGCUUGGAAGACUUUUGAAGCAUGGAUGGAAAAGAAGGUGAAAUAUUCGAUGUAUGCUUUAAUCUGUAUGUUUAGAGGGAUUGGAGAAAAUUUAUCAUCAAUGUUUAAUGAUUAUUGAUUAAAAUCAAU
RNAcentral lists this long non-coding RNA (426 nucleotides) under Heterocephalus glaber (naked mole-rat). RNAcentral's name for it is "lncRNA (ENSHGLG00000032373.1)". Lineage: Eukaryota; Metazoa; Chordata; Mammalia; Rodentia; Bathyergidae. The record is from RNAcentral.